GAACUGGAUUUUAUAGAAGGUUGUAACGCUACCACAUGGAUGCUGGAAAUUGAACCUGAGUCCUCUGGAAAAGCAACCAGUGCUCUGUAGUGCACUGGACCAUCUCUCCAUCCCCCAUCAGUAUUCUUAACAACAACAAAAUUAUACUUUAUAACUUAUUUUUUCUUCUUUGCUGUGAACAAUAUUCCAGUUAUUCCUGAAUUAACAAGUAGCUUUUAACACUCACAUUCUAUUAAAUUAGUAGAUGUUCCAAAUUAGUAGCUCUACCACAAUUUAAGCAAGUCAUUUGACUGGUUUGGUAGGAUGGUAACUAUUUGGGAAUUUUUCACCCAGUUUCUCCAAAAUUUUGUGUUUGAUCCUGCAAAAACUGUAUUUAUACAGAUCUUAGAAAGUAUUUAUCAAUCAUAUUUUUACUUAAGAAUGAAUUAUGAGGCACUACUUGCUUCUGCAGAGGACCCAGGUUCCAUUCUCAGCUCCCAUAUGGCAGCUCACAACUGUCUGUAACUUCAGUUCCAGGGGAUCCAUUGCCUGCAUCUGACCUUUGAGGGCACCAGACAAUCAUGUGGUGCAUAUGCAUACAUAUAGGCAAAACAAUCAAAAAUAAAAUGAAUAAAUCUAAUUUUAAAAAGAAUAGGUUUUUUAAAACCUAUUGGGGGAUGGUUGUGCACACUUUUAAUCCCAGCAGCAGGGAGGCAAAGGCAAGAGAAUACCUGUGAAUUCAGUGUCAGCCUGGCCUAUAUAGUGAGCUCCAGAACAAACAAGGACUACAUAGAGACCCAAUCUCAAAACAAAACAAAAAGAGUGCAUUGUUAACCAGAUGUGGUGGUGGGUUAAUGCUUGUAAUCCCAGCGCUUGGGAAACAUAGAUGAGAAGAUCACUAGGAGUUCUAGGGCAGCCUGGGCUACAGGAUGAUACCUUGCCUCAAAACAAAGACAAGCAAACAGAAUUAAUUAUGAGAAGCAAAUGUCUAUAAUUUAAAGACAUAGUCACACACAUACAUUUUUAGCCAUAUACCACUGGAAAAGAUGAUAGACUGUAGAAUAUUUAUAACUGUCCAUAUAAAAGUGCUGCAUUCUCCUAAAAGUUCCUAUCAGCAUCAUUUCUUAUGGUUUUUUUUUAAGCUAGAAAUUAGUAUGUCUUUUUUGGCAAUUUCUUCAUUUUUAGACUUGUUAUUUUUAAGUGUGUGUUUGUAUAUGUGUAUCUGCAUGUGGACAUGUGCAUAUGAGUUCAGGUGCCCACAGAGGCCAGAAGAGGGUAUCAGAUCUCCUACAGGUGGAGUUAAGGAUGGCUGUGAGUUACCUAAUUGGGUGCUGGAAACUGAGUUCAGGCCUUCUCCAAGAGCAAUGUGUGCUCUUAACUUCUGAGCCAUUUUUCUAGCCCUCUUUGAUUUCUUCUAAUAAAGUGAAACUUUUCACACAUUUAUUGUUUAUAUCAUAGGUCAUUAGAAAAGUUUAAGAAGUCUGUAUAACUGAUAAAAUAUAAAAAAUUAUGUUGUGUUUUAAUUGAUCACCCUGUGUAGGUUGUUUAUUUUGAGACAGGGUCCCGUUGUGUAGCCCUAGCUACCCUGGAACUCAUGGUUGUCCUCUUGCCUCAGCCUCCCAAGUUUUUUAGAUUGGACAUCUUUUCAUGCUUUAUUUUUUGUAGUGCUAGAGAUUGAACCGAAGGUCUCAUGUGUGGCAGGCAAGCACUCAAUUAUGGUGAUGUAUCCCUGGAGCACCCUUUUCAAUACUUUUAGAGUACAGUAUCUCACUGUGUAGCCCACUGCGUAGUCUAAAACUUGUGUUCCUCCUGCCUCAGCCUCUAAAGUGCUAUAGGGUCAACUCUGUGAUGCUAGAAAGACACUUUAAAAUAAUAUUUUCAAAAAUAAACAACUAGUGACGAUAUAUGUGUAUAUAUGGAAAUUGUUAGUAGAAGUCUGCCUUGCUAUAGAUAAAAAAGAUACCGAUACCAGCGGUAUCUAAAUCUUUCUCACAAUAUGAAUAUAAUGAUUAGUUUUUUUAAAAACAGAGAGCUUGUUAAUCAUCCUUUCCCAAGAGGGUGAGGAGAGAGACAAGAGUGGCUUCUCUAGGCAUGGAUACUUUUAAGCCUCGUGUCCUGUGUAGCAGACACUUUCAUCUUCUGAGCAGGAAGCAGUACUCAAAAGGUAGAGAUGAGUUAACUCUAACUGGCUCUUAUGGGGAAGGAUGAUUCACUAUAAACUGUUAAAAAACAAAAAACAAAAAACAAAUGUAUUAGUAGCUGGCUCAGUGGUCAAGAGCUCUUCCAGAGGUCCUGAGUUCAAUUCCCAGCAACCACGUGGUUGCUCACAGCCAUCUGUAAUGGAAUCCAGUGUCCUCUUCUGGGAUGUCUGAAGACAGCUACAAUGUACUCACAUAUAUAAAAUAAAUAAAUCUUCUAAAAAUCU
RNAcentral lists this long non-coding RNA (2404 nucleotides) under Mus musculus (house mouse). RNAcentral's name for it is "long non-coding RNA chr2:128998921-129001325". Lineage: Eukaryota; Metazoa; Chordata; Mammalia; Rodentia; Muridae. The record is from RNAcentral.